Molecule: ribosomal RNA, 484 nt
Filed under: uncultured bacterium
Lineage: Bacteria
Description: partial 16S ribosomal RNA
Rfam family: Bacterial small subunit ribosomal RNA
Source: RNAcentral
AUUGAACGCUGGCGGCAGGCCUAACACAUGCAAGUCGAGCGGAUGAAGGGAGCUUGCUCCUGGAUUCAGCGGCGGACGGGUGAGUAAUGCCUAGGAAUCUGCCUGGUAGUGGGGGAUAACGUCCGGAAACGGGCGCUAAUACCGCAUACGUCCUGAGGGAGAAAGUGGGGGAUCUUCGGACCUCACGCUAUCAGAUGAGCCUAGGUCGGAUUAGCUAGUUGGUGGGGUAAAGGCCUACCAAGGCGACGAUCCGUAACUGGUCUGAGAGGAUGAUCAGUCACACUGGAACUGAGACACGGUCCAGACUCCUACGGGAGGCAGCAGUGGGGAAUAUUGGACAAUGGGCGAAAGCCUGAUCCAGCCAUGCCGCGUGUGUGAAGAAGGUCUUCGGAUUGUAAAGCACUUUAAGUUGGGGGGAAGGGCAGCAAGUUAAUACCUUGCUGUUUUGACGUUACCAACAGAAUAAGCACCGGCUAACUUCGUG